RNAcentral lists this ribosomal RNA (467 nucleotides) under uncultured bacterium. RNAcentral's name for it is "bacterial SSU rRNA". It matches the Rfam family "Bacterial small subunit ribosomal RNA", at positions 338 to 795 of the family's 1533-position model. The record is from RNAcentral.
CCUANUGGAGGCUGCAGUCGGGAAUAUUGGGCAAUGGGCGCAAGCCUGACCCAGCGACGCCGCGUGAGGGAUGAAGGCCUUCGGGUCGUAAACCUCUGUCGGGAGGGAAGAAUGGCGGUGAGGUGAAUAAUCUCGCUGUCUGACGGUACCUCCAAAGGAAGCGCCGGCUAACUCCGUGCCAGCAGCCGCGGUAAUACGGAGGGCGCAAGCGUUGUUCGGAAUCACUGGGCGUAAAGCGCGUGUAGGCGGCCGGGCAAGUCGGAUGUGAAAUCCCGGGGCUCAACCCCGGAACUGCAUCCGAUACUGCCGCGCUUAGAGGAUUGGAGAGGUAGCUGGAAUUCUUGGUGUAGCAGUGAAAUGCGUGGAUAUCAAGAGGAACACUCGUGGCGAAAGCGAGCUACUGGACAACUCCUGACGCUGAGGCUCGAAGGCCAGGGUAGCGAAAGGGAUUAGAUACCCUGNUANUC